This 2732-nucleotide ribosomal RNA is filed under the name Escherichia coli. RNAcentral describes it as "partial 23S ribosomal RNA". It matches the Rfam family "Bacterial large subunit ribosomal RNA". Lineage: Bacteria; Pseudomonadati; Pseudomonadota; Gammaproteobacteria; Enterobacterales; Enterobacteriaceae. The record is from RNAcentral.
CAUAGGUUAAUGAGGCGAACCGGGGGAACUGAAACAUCUAAGUACCCCGAGGAAAAGAAAUCAACCGAGAUUCCCCCAGUAGCGGCGAGCGAACGGGGAGCAGCCCAGAGCCUGAAUCAGUGUGUGUGUUAGUGGAAGCGUCUGGAAAGGCGCGCGAUACAGGGUGACAGCCCCGUACACAAAAAUGCACAUACUGUGAGCUCGAUGAGUAGGGCGGGACACGUGGUAUCCUGUCUGAAUAUGGGGGGACCAUCCUCCAAGGCUAAAUACUCCUGACUGACCGAUAGUGAACCAGUACCGUGAGGGAAAGGCGAAAAGAACCCCGGCGAGGGGAGUGAAAAAGAACCUGAAACCGUGUACGUACAAGCAGUGGGAGCACGCUUAGGCGUGUGACUGCGUACCUUUUGUAUAAUGGGUCAGCGACUUAUAUUCUGUAGCAAGGUUAACCGAAUAGGGGAGCCGAAGGGAAACCGAGUCUUAACUGGGCGUUAAGUUGCAGGGUAUAGACCCGAAACCCGGUGAUCUAGCCAUGGGCAGGUUGAAGGUUGGGUAACACUAACUGGAGGACCGAACCGACUAAUGUUGAAAAAUUAGCGGAUGACUUGUGGCUGGGGGUGAAAGGCCAAUCAAACCGGGAGAUAGCUGGUUCUCCCCGAAAGCUAUUUAGGUAGCGCCUCGUGAAUUCAUCUCCGGGGGUAGAGCACUGUUUCGGCAAGGGGGUCAUCCCGACUUACCAACCCGAUGCAAACUGCGAAUACCGGAGAAUGUUAUCACGGGAGACACACGGCGGGUGCUAACGUCCGUCGUGAAGAGGGAAACAACCCAGACCGCCAGCUAAGGUCCCAAAGUCAUGGUUAAGUGGGAAACGAUGUGGGAAGGCCCAGACAGCCAGGAUGUUGGCUUAGAAGCAGCCAUCAUUUAAAGAAAGCGUAAUAGCUCACUGGUCGAGUCGGCCUGCGCGGAAGAUGUAACGGGGCUAAACCAUGCACCGAAGCUGCGGCAGCGACGCUGAUGCGUUGUUGGGUAGGGGAGCGUUCUGUAAGCCUGUGAAGGUGUGCUGUGAGGCAUGCUGGAGGUAUCAGAAGUGCGAAUGCUGACAUAAGUAACGAUAAAGCGGGUGAAAAGCCCGCUCGCCGGAAGACCAAGGGUUCCUGUCCAACGUUAAUCGGGGCAGGGUGAGUCGACCCCUAAGGCGAGGCCGAAAGGCGUAGUCGAUGGGAAACAGGUUAAUAUUCCUGUACUUGGUGUUACUGCGAAGGGGGGACGGAGAAGGCUAUGUUGGCCGGGCGACGGUUGUCCCGGUUUAAGCGUGUAGGCUGGUUUUCCAGGCAAAUCCGGAAAACUAAGGCUGAGGCGUGAUGAGGAGGCACUACGGUGCUGAAGCAACAAAUGCCCUGCUUCCAGGAAAAGCCUCUAAGCAUCAGGUAACAUCAAAUCGUACCCCAAACCGACACAGGUGGUCAGGUAGAGAAUACCAAGGCGCUUGAGAGAACUCGGGUGAAGGAACUAGGCAAAAUGGUGCCGUAACUUCGGGAGAAGGCACGCUGAUAUGUAGGUGAAGCGACUUGCUCGUGGAGCUGAAAUCAGUCGAAGAUACCAGCUGGCUGCAACUGUUUAUUAAAAACACAGCACUGUGCAAACACGAAAGUGGACGUAUACGGUGUGACGCCUGCCCGGUGCCGGAAGGUUAAUUGAUGGGGUCAGCGCAAGCGAAGCUCUUGAUCGAAGCCCCGGUAAACGGCGGCCGUAACUAUAACGGUCCUAAGGUAGCGAAAUUCCUUGUCGGGUAAGUUCCGACCUGCACGAAUGGCGUAAUGAUGGCCAGGCUGUCUCCACCCGAGACUCAGUGAAAUUGAACUCGCUGUGAAGAUGCAGUGUACCCGCGGCAAGACGGAAAGACCCCGUGAACCUUUACUAUAGCUUGACACUGAACAUUGAGCCUUGAUGUGUAGGAUAGGUGGGAGGCUUUGAAGUGUGGACGCCAGUCUGCAUGGAGCCGACCUUGAAAUACCACCCUUUAAUGUUUGAUGUUCUAACGUUGACCCGUGAUCCGGGUUGCGGACAGUGUCUGGUGGGUAGUUUGACUGGGGCGGUCUCCUCCUAAAGAGUAACGGAGGAGCACGAAGGUUGGCUAAUCCUGGUCGGACAUCAGGAGGUUAGUGCAAUGGCAUAAGCCAGCUUGACUGCGAGCGUGACGGCGCGAGCAGGUGCGAAAGCAGGUCAUAGUGAUCCGGUGGUUCUGAAUGGAAGGGCCAUCGCUCAACGGAUAAAAGGUACUCCGGGGAUAACAGGCUGAUACCGCCCAAGAGUUCAUAUCGACGGCGGUGUUUGGCACCUCGAUGUCGGCUCAUCACAUCCUGGGGCUGAAGUAGGUCCCAAGGGUAUGGCUGUUCGCCAUUUAAAGUGGUACGCGAGCUGGGUUUAGAACGUCGUGAGACAGUUCGGUCCCUAUCUGCCGUGGGCGCUGGAGAACUGAGGGGGGCUGCUCCUAGUACGAGAGGACCGGAGUGGACGCAUCACUGGUGUUCGGGUUGUCAUGCCAAUGGCACUGCCCGGUAGCUAAAUGCGGAAGAGAUAAGUGCUGAAAGCAUCUAAGCACGAAACUUGCCCCGAGAUGAGUUCUCCCUGACUCCUUGAGAGUCCUGAAGGAACGUUGAAGACGACGACGUUGAUAGGCCGGGUGUGUAAGCGCAGCGAUGCGUUGAGCUAACCGGUACUAAUGAACCGUGAGG